RNAcentral lists this unclassified non-coding RNA (376 nucleotides) under uncultured bacterium. Its description in RNAcentral is "contains 16S-23S intergenic spacer region". The record is from RNAcentral.
UCCCCGUUAACCGGGGCAGUCCCCCUAGAGUUCCCGGCCUGACCCGUUGGCAACUAGGGGCGAGGGUUGCGCUCGUUGCGGGACUUAACCCAACAUCUCACGACACGAGCUGACGACAGCCAUGCACCACCUGUUAUGGGCCCUUUCGGACACCGUAUCUCUACGGCUUUUCCCAUAAUGUCAAACCCAGGUAAGGUUCUUCGGGUCGCAUCGAAUUGAGCCGCAUGCUCCGCCGCUUGUGCGGGGACCCGUCAAUUCCUUUGAGUCUUAGCCUUGCGACCGUACUCCCCAGGCGGGGCACUUAAUGCGUUAGCUGCGGCACCCAGGGGGUCAAUACCCCGGACACCCAGUGCCCAUCGUUUACAGCGUGGACUAC